GGCAUGCUACACAUGCAAGUCGAACGGUAACAGGGAGCUUGCUCCGCUGACGAGUGGCGAACGGGUGAGUAAUAUAUCGGAACGUACCCAAGAGUGGGGGAUAACGUAGCGAAAGUUACGCUAAUACCGCAUACGAUCUAUGGAUGAAAGCAGGGGACCUUCGGGCCUUGUGCUCCUGGAGCGGCCGAUAUCUGAUUAGCUAGUUGGUGAGGUAAAGGCUCACCAAGGCGACGAUCAGUAGCUGGUCUGAGAGGACGACCAGCCACACUGGAACUGAGACACGGUCCAGACUCCUACGGGAGGCAGCAGUGGGGAAUUUUGGACAAUGGGCGCAAGCCUGAUCCAGCAAUGCCGCGUGAGUGAAGAAGGCCUUCGGGUUGUAAAGCUCUUUUGUCAGGGAAGAAACGGCUGUGGCUAAUAUCCACGGCUAAUGACGGUACCUGAAGAAUAAGCACCGGCUAACUACGUGCCAGCAGCCGCGGUAAUACGUAGGGUGCAAGCGUUAAUCGGAAUUACUGGGCGUAAAGCGUGCGCAGGCGGUUUUGUAAGUCUGUCGUGAAAUCCCCGGGCUCAACCUGGGAAUUGCGAUGGAGACUGCAAGGCUAGAAUCUGGCAGAGGGGGGUAGAAUUCCACGUGUAGCAGUGAAAGGCGUAGAGAUGUGGAGGAACACCGAUGGCGAAGGCAGCCCCCUGGGUCAAGAUUGACGCUCAUGCACGAAAGCGUGGGGAGCAAACAGGAUUAGAUACCCUGGUAGUCCACGCCCUAAACGAUGUCUACUAGUUGUCGGGUUUUAAUUAACUUGGUAACGCAGCUAACGCGUGAAGUAGACCGCCUGGGGAGUACG
Molecule: ribosomal RNA, 845 nt
Filed under: uncultured organism
Description: SSU rRNA
Rfam family: Bacterial small subunit ribosomal RNA
Source: RNAcentral